UCUUCAUUCUGCCACGUAGCAUCUUCCACCAGCAAGAAAAGCUGAGGCUCCUUGGAAUUCAAAGCGUUGAGAAGUGGACGUGAUGCAGAAUGUUCUGUUUUUGUUUCUCAAGAAUGCUGCUGCUGCUGGAGUGUCUGUGGUGCUGCCUGUCCCGGCCUGGGGGAGAGCUGGACCAGUGGCCUCCGUCAUGCUCUGCUCUCAGCAGUUGAACUGAAGUAACACCACUAAAAUCUACACGGAACUUCAGAAGUGGAAAUGGAUCUCCUUGUGGGUACGAGGAAUAAAGAUGGAGAGAUGGCACCGUUAGUGGUAAAUUCUUCCUGGGGAAACAGCUCAGCAGAAAUGGGGAUCAAUUCUGGAAUGGGAGCACGCUCUGUCCUGCAGGCCUCGUAGCCCUGAGCGGCCUCUCACUUGCUGUGGAAGGAAGCAUU
Molecule: non-coding RNA, 431 nt
Organism: Coturnix japonica (Japanese quail)
Lineage: Eukaryota; Metazoa; Chordata; Aves; Galliformes; Phasianidae
Source: RefSeq, a predicted model, not a curated record